AUGGCGUCCCUCUCCCUCGAGGACGUCCGCAACGAGACCGUCGACCUGUCGACGGUGACGGUGGAUGAGGUGUUCAAGACGCUCAAGUGCGACAGGAAGGGGCUGAGCGAGGCGGAGGGCGAGAACCGGCUCAAGCUCUUCGGCCCCAACAAGCUGGAGGAGAAGAAGGAGAGCAAGCUGCUCAAGUUCCUGGGCUUCAUGUGGAACCCGCUGUCAUGGGUCAUGGAGAUCGCCGCCAUCAUGGCCAUCGCGCUCGCCAACGGCGGCGGCAGGCCGCCGGACUGGCAGGACUUCGUCGGCAUCGUCACCCUCCUCUUCAUCAACUCCACCAUCAGCUACAUCGAGGAGGCCAACGCCGGGGACGCCGCCGCCGCGCUCAUGGCCGGGCUCGCGCCCAAGACCAAGCUGCUCAGGGACGGCAGCUGGGAGGAGCGGGACGCCGCCAUCCUCGUGCCCGGAGACAUCAUCAGCAUCAAGCUCGGCGACAUCAUCCCCGCCGACGCCAGGCUGCUCGAGGGCGACGCGCUCAAGAUCGACCAGUCGGCGCUCACGGGCGAGUCGCUGCCGGUGAACAGGUACUCCGGGCAGGAGGUGUUCUCAGGCUCCACGGUGAAGCAGGGCGAGCUCGAGGCCGUCGUCAUCGCCACCGGCGUGCACACUUUCUUCGGCAAGGCCGCGCACCUCGUCGACAGCACCAACAACGUCGGACACUUCCAGCAGGUGCUCACGGCCAUCGGCAACUUCUGCAUCAUCUCCAUCGCCGCGGGCAUGCUCGUGGAGAUCAUCGUCAUGUACCCGAUCCAGCACCGCGCGUACCGCGACGGCAUCGACAACCUCCUCGUGCUCCUCAUCGGCGGCAUCCCCAUCGCCAUGCCCACCGUGCUCUCCGUCACCAUGGCCAUCGGCUCCCACCGGCUGUCGCAGCAGGGCGCCAUCACCAAGCGCAUGACGGCCAUCGAGGAGAUGGCCGGCAUGGACGUGCUCUGCAGCGACAAGACCGGCACGCUCACACUCAACAAGCUCACCGUCGACAAGACCCUCAUCGAGGUGUGCUCCAAGGGCGUCGACAAGGACAUGGUGCUCCUCUACGCCGCCAGGGCGUCCCGUGUCGAGAACCAGGACGCCAUUGACACGUGCAUCGUCAACAUGCUCGCCGACCCCAAGGAGGCCCGCGCCGGCAUUAAGGAAGUCCACUUCCUACCCUUCAACCCGGUGGACAAGCGCACGGCCAUCACCUACAUCGACGGCAACGGCGACUGGCACAGGGUCAGCAAGGGCGCGCCCGAGCAGAUCAUCGAGCUCUGCAAGAUGGCACCGGACGCCGAGAAGAAGGUGCACACGCUCAUCGACUCAUACGCCGACCGCGGCCUUCGGUCCCUCGGCGUGUCGUACCAGCAGGUCCCGGAGAAGAACAAGGAGAGCGCGGGCGACCCGUGGCAGUUCAUCGGGCUGCUCCCCCUGUUCGACCCUCCGAGGCACGACAGCGCGGAGACCAUCCGCCGCGCGCUCCACCUCGGCGUCAACGUCAAGAUGAUCACCGGCGACCAGCUGGCCAUCGGGAAGGAGACCGGGCGGCGGCUCGGCAUGGGCACCAACAUGUACCCGUCCACGGCCCUCCUGGGCGACAAGAACACGGCCGUGGACGGCCUCCCCAUCGACGAGCUCAUCGAGAAGGCCGACGGGUUCGCCGGGGUGUUCCCGGAGCACAAGUACGAGAUCGUGAAGCGGCUGCAGGACAAGAAGCACAUCGUGGGGAUGACGGGCGACGGCGUGAACGACGCGCCGGCGCUGAAGAAGGCCGACAUCGGCAUCGCCGUGGACGACGCGACGGACGCGGCCCGGUCGGCGUCGGACAUCGUGCUGACGGAGCCCGGGCUGAGCGUGAUCGUGAGCGCGGUGCUGACGAGCCGCGCCAUCUUCCAGCGGAUGAAGAACUACACCAUCUACGCGGUGUCCAUCACGAUCCGGAUCGUGCUCGGGUUCAUGCUGGUGGCGCUGAUCUGGAAGUUCGACUUCGCGCCCUUCAUGGUGCUCAUCAUCGCCAUCCUCAACGACGGCACCAUCAUGACCAUCUCCAAGGACCGGGUGAAGCCGUCGCCGAAGCCGGACUCAUGGAAACUCGACGAGAUCUUCGCGACGGGGGUGGUGCUGGGCACGUACAUGGCGCUGGCCACCGUGGUCUUCUUCUACCUGGCGCACGACACGGACUUCUUCACGGAGACGUUCGGGGUGCACCCGAUCAGGGACAACGACCGGCAGCUCAUGGCGGCGCUGUACCUGCAGGUGAGCAUCAUCAGCCAGGCGCUCAUCUUCGUGACGCGGUCGCGGAGCUGGUCCUUCGUGGAGCGGCCGGGGUUCCUGCUGCUGUUCGCCUUCUUCGCGGCGCAGCUGAUGGCGACGGCGAUCGCCGUGUACGCCAACUGGGACUUCUGCGACAUGGAGGGGAUCGGGUGGGCGUGGGGCGGCGCCAUCUGGGUCUUCACCCUCGUCACCUACAUCCCGCUGGACGUGCUCAAGUUCAUCAUCCGCUACUCGAUCAGCGGCAAGGGGUGGAACAACGUACAGAACAAGACGGCGUUUACCAACAAGAAGGACUACGGCAGGGGCGAGCGGGAGGCGCUGUGGGCCAGGGAGCAGAGGACGCUCAACGGCCUCAGCCAGCCGGCCGGCUCCGACCUCCUCAGCAACAAGGAGGAGCUCUCCGACAUCGCCGCGGAGGCCGCCAAGCGCGCCGAGAUCGCCAGGCUCAGGGAGCUGCACACGCUCAAGGGCCACGUCGAGUCGGUCGUCAAGCAGAAGGGCAUCGACAUCGACGCCAUUCCGCAGAACUACACCGUCUGA
This 2841-nucleotide ribosomal RNA is filed under the name Triticum aestivum (bread wheat). RNAcentral's name for it is "partial small subunit ribosomal RNA". Lineage: Eukaryota; Viridiplantae; Streptophyta; Magnoliopsida; Poales; Poaceae. The record is from RNAcentral.